UGUAAGCCACAGGCCACAACACCCAGUUCCCCCUUCCCACUGCCAGAGACGCGAUUAGCCGCCUAAACCCUAAUCAAGCAUACGCGAUUUAUAUUCAGACUCGGUAUUAUCAUGUAUGUUACUCUGGUAUUCAGAUGCUUGCGACUGGGAUAUGAGGAGGCUGUGACCCAAUUCUUUCAAGAAGUAAGAUCUGUUUAUUUAAUUAGCACUGCACACUUGUAGUAAAUUGAAUAUUGUUUGGUCACUUUGUGUUGGAUCAAGAGUUUUUUGCUGGUGGCCAGACGUGCAGCAUAUUGAAGAAUGGAGGCAGGUUCAGACCGUAGCAGUGGAGUCUUUGUGAUUAUCCAGUUUUUGAUUUAAAAAGUUCGGUUCUUAAGGAAAGAACCGAACCGAACCGAAUUAUUUCGGUUCGGUUCCGGUUCGGUCCAUAUAUUAAUUUCGGUUCGGUUCGGUCCGAAAAAAAUUAACAAUUCGGUUUUCGGUUCUUUCGGUUCGGUCCGGUUCUGGACCGAACCGACCGAAUGCUCAGCCCUACUCGUACUAUUGUCUCCUUUCAUAAAUUAUUGUAAUAUGAUUUUUUAUAUUUCAUAUUAAUCAUCUUUAGCAACCUUACUUAAAACAACAUGUUUUUUUAGAUAUUAAGCACAUAUUAAAAGCUAAAAUCGUAAUCCAAAUUAAUUAUGUUUCUUCACAAUCUUUCGGACAAAAUUAAUGGAAUGCUCAUUCCAUCUUUUAAAAAUAGAAUGCUCAUUUCAUUUUUACAUCAUGUUUUUUCACAAUCUUUUUGACAAGAAAUCUAACUACACUCAUAUUUUGUCACUAUUAUUUCAUACUUUCUUCUUUCUCCUUAAAUUUUUUAAACAAUUUUUCAUUCCAUUCUCUCCUCACUCCGUUCCAUGAGUGAACAAAGCCUUAAUGUUUUUUUUUUUACGAAGAACCACUUAAUGUUUAGUUGUCAAAGAAGUAACCACACGUGACUUCUAAAAUCUAACCCAAACACAAAAAUUUCGUCUCAUUUUGUGUCAAUUUAUUAUGUUGUAUCCAAAACUGCCUGGUCUACACUGCAUUAUCAAAAUUUAACAGCUUCGUAUUCAGGAAAACAGCAUCUCUGCUCAAAUCAAACCGAUUUAUACCGUAAUCCCACAAAACACAAGAAGAUGACACAUACACAAAAGGGUCACCGAAGAUCAUGCAACUUUUGUUGCAAACAGAAGUAGUUUAUAAAAUGCAACUUUCUCACACCCCUUUCCAGUUUCAACUCUACUUUCU
Molecule: long non-coding RNA, 1269 nt
Filed under: Daucus carota (carrot)
Lineage: Eukaryota; Viridiplantae; Streptophyta; Magnoliopsida; Apiales; Apiaceae
Description: long non-coding RNA (DCAR_LNC002834)
Source: RNAcentral